RNA transcript from Solanum pennellii, 3577 nucleotides. It is a transcript of the gene named TMV resistance protein N-like, with no coding region annotated. Lineage: Eukaryota; Viridiplantae; Streptophyta; Magnoliopsida; Solanales; Solanaceae. The record is from RefSeq and is a predicted model, not a curated record. The transcript has 4 exons.
CAAUUAUUGUGAAAAUGAAUCAGGAAAGUUCAUUGCUUCCAUCCCCAGAAAUUAUUCGAUGGAGUUAGGAUGUUUUCUUAAGUUUCAGAGGUGAAGAUGUACGCAAAACAUUUGUUGACCAUCUGUACCUUGCUCUGCAACAAAAGUGCAUUAAUACCUUCAAAGAUGAUGAAAAACUAGAGAAAGGAAAGUUCAUUUCACCGGAACUCGAGAGUUCAAUUGAAGAGUCAAGGAUAGCUUUGAUCAUAUUCUCUAGAAACUAUGCUAAUUCAACAUGGUGUUUAGAUGAAUUGACAAAGAUCAUGGAGUGCAAGAAUGUGAAAGGACAAAUUGUUGUUCCGGUGUUUUAUGAUGUAGAUCCAUCAACAGUGAGGAAACAAAAAAACAUGUUUGGAGAAGCAUUUAGCAAACAUGAAGCCCGGUUCCAAGAGGAUAAGGUGCAAAAAUGGAGGGCAGCACUGGUGGAAGCAGCUAAUAUUUCUGGCUGGGAUUUGCCAAAUACUUCCAAUGGACAUGAAGCUAGAGUCAUAGAGAAAAUUGUGGAAGAUAUAAUGGCUAGAUUGGGUAGUCAGAGACAUGCAAGCAAUGCUAGAAAUCUUGUUGGAAUGGAGUCACACAUGCACCAAGUAUAUAAAAUGCUUGGCAUAGGGUCUGGUGGAGUUCGCUUUCUCGGAAUAUUGGGAAUGAGCGGAGUGGGGAAGACAACUCUUGCAAAAGUUAUUUAUGAUAACCUUCGGAGUCGAUUUCAAGGUGCAUGUUUUCUUCACGAAGUCAGAGACCGUUCAGCAAAGCAGGGACUAGAGCACUUGCAAGAGAUACUUCUUUCUGAGAUCCUUGUUGUAAAAAAACUAAGGAUCAACGAUUCGUUUGAAGGAGCUAAUAUGCAAAAACAAAGACUACAGUACAAAAAGGUUCUUCUUGUUCUGGAUGAUGUUGAUCACAUAGAUCAAUUAGACGCGCUAGCUGGGAAGCGUGAAUGGUUUGGUGACGGAAGUAGAAUCAUCAUAACAACCAAAGACAAACACCUGCUUGUUAAGUAUGAGACUGAAAAGAUAUACAGAAUGAAAACUUUAGACAAAUAUGAAAGCUUACGACUUUUUAAACAACAUGCUUUCAAGAAAAACUACCCUACCAAAGAAUUUGAGGAUCUAUCAGCUCAAGUGAUAGAGCAUACUGGUGGACUCCCCCUAGCCCUGAAAGUCCUUGGCAGUUUCUUGUAUGGGAGAGGCUUGGAUGAAUGGAUAAGUCAAGUGGAGCGUUUGAAACAAAUCCCAGAAAAUGAAAUUUUGAAGAAACUCGAACUAAGUUUCACUGGUCUCCACAAUACUGAGCAAAAGAUAUUCUUAGACAUUGCAUGUUUCUUUUCAGGGAAGAGGAAAGAUUCAGUGACCAGAAUACUUGAGAGUUUUCAUUUUAGCCCUGUCAUUGGGAUUAAAGUACUCAUGGAGAAAUGUUUGAUCACUAUAUUAAAAGGUCGCGUUAUAAUACACCAAUUGAUACAAGAAAUGGGCUGGCACAUUGUUCGUCGGGAAGCUUCUUACAAUCCAAGAAUAUGUAGUAGGUUGUGGAAGCGCAAAGAUAUUUGUCCUGUACUUGAAAGAAAUUUGGGCACUGACAAGAUCGAAGGCAUUUUGCUGCACCUGACAAAUGAAGAAGAAGUUAAUUUUGGUGGCAAGGCCUUCAUGCAGAUGACCAGUCUGAGGUUUCUCAAAUUCCGGAAUGCAUAUGUUUGCCAGGGACCUGAGUUUCUUCCUGAUGAGUUGAGGUGGCUUGAUUGGCAUGGAUAUCCUUCGAAAAGUCUGCCAAAUAGCUUUAAGGGAGAUCAACUUGUUAGUUUGAAAUUGAAAAAAAGCCGCAUCAUACAACUUUGAAGAACCUCAAAGGAUCUAGGAAAACUAAAGUACAUGAACCUUAGCCAUUCACAGAAGCUAAUAAGGAUGCCAGAUUUUUCCGUUACACCUAAUCUUGAAAGACUGGUUCUUGAAGAAUGCACAAGUUUGGUAGAAAUCAAUUUUUCUAUUGGAGAUCUUGGAAAGCUAGUCUUUCUGAAUCUGAAGAACUGUAGAAAUUUAAAGACCCUACCAAAGAGUAUUCGAUUGGAAAAGCUUGAAAUUCUCGUUCUUUCAGGCUGCUCAAAGUUAAGAACAUUCCCGGAAAUAGAAGAGAAAAUGAAUCGUUUAGCAGAACUGUAUUUGGGCGCUACUGCUUUGAGUGAGCUACCAGCAUCAGUUGAGAACUUUCCAGGAGUUGGUGUAAUAAAUCUAAGUUACUGCAAGCAUCUUGAGAGUCUACCUAGCAGUAUUUUUAGGUUGAAAUGUUUGAAAACACUUGAUGUGUCUGGAUGCUCAAAACUUAAAAAUUUACCAGAUGAUUUGGGACUUUUAGUUGGUUUAGAGGAGCUCCACUUCACUCACACAGCCAUCCAAACAAUUCCAUCCUCAAUGUCUCUUCUUAAAAACCUUAAACAUUUAUAUCUCCGUGGAUGUACUGCUUUGAGUUCACAAGUAAGUAGCUCAAGUCGUGGCCAGAAGUCUAUGGGUGUAAAUUUUCAGAAUUUGUCGGGUCUUUGUUCAUUGAUCAUGUUGGAUCUUAGUGACUGCAACAUUUCAGACGGAGGCAUUUUAAGUAAUCUUGGGUUCUUACCGUCUUUGGAGGGAUUGGUUCUUGACGGUAACAAUUUUUCCAAUAUUGCAGCUGCAAACAUAAGUCGUCUCACUAAUCUUAAAUUCCUUGCAUUGGCUGGUUGUAGGAGGCUUGAGAGUUUACCAGAACUUCCUCCAAGUAUAACAGGGCUAUAUGCCGAUGAAUGCACAUCUUUGAUGAGUAUUGAUCAACUAACCAAAUAUCCAAUGUUGCUUGAAGUUUCAUUCACAAAAUGUCAUCAACUUGUAAAAAAUAAACAGCACGCCUCCAUGGUUGAUUCAUUGUUGAAACAGAUGGACAAGGUACUAUUCAUGAAUGGCUUAUUUAGGAUGUACGUCCCUGGUGUGGAGAUUCCGGAAUGGUUUACAUACAAGAACUCAGGGACUGGAUCAAUCUCAGUAGCCCUGCCCAAAAAUUGGUUCACACCCACAUUCAGGGGGUUUGCUGUUUGUGCUGUUUUUGACAUGAUGAAUCCUUUCAUUUUAAGGAAAUUUAAGUGGGACGGUCCCAUGAAUUUCCAUACUGACAAAUUCCUAAGAAAUUCCCGAGGACCUGCAGCAUGGUUUAAGUUCACAAGCCAUGACGGUUUGAGGCGCGAAUCUUGGUUUUCUUUCUCCUCAAUAGGAAGUGAAAAAGCUGUUGGUUUAGGUGAUACUUUUCUAGCCCAUUUACCUGUUCAUCCGUAUUGGACGUCGAAGGAUGUUAAUUAUAAUAACUACAUUCAGCUUGAGGUUGGUUUCCAUGAUGAAGUUCAUAAGGAUGUAGUGGUCAAAGGUAUGGGAGUGCGUCUUGUGUAUGAGAAUUGAUGGCAACAGGGAGCUGAAAUGCAUAUGAAUUUGUUCAACUUAGAAACAUAAUUAUAAUCUUGAAAGCUACUUAGAAAUGGGAGAAGGAGUCCAUAAGAACUCAGAGAAUCAUGUACUGAUUUUGUACU